UGCAUCUGAAGUCUGACGAGGAUGAGAACCUCCGGGGGCAAGAGGUUCGACUCGAGCGAAGCGAGAGAACGUUGCGU
This 77-nucleotide small RNA is filed under the name Salmonella enterica subsp. enterica serovar Infantis. Its description in RNAcentral is "partial RtT sRNA". It matches the Rfam family "RtT RNA", at positions 1 to 73 of the family's 130-position model. From Rfam's summary of the family: This family represents a bacterial cis-regulatory element known as RtT RNA. The exact function of RtT is unknown although it is thought that it may be involved in changing the cellular response in relation to amino acid starvation. Lineage: Bacteria; Pseudomonadati; Pseudomonadota; Gammaproteobacteria; Enterobacterales; Enterobacteriaceae. RNAcentral also lists the same sequence under 1 other name. The record is from RNAcentral.